This 31-nucleotide non-coding RNA is filed under the name Mus musculus (house mouse). The record is from RNAcentral. Lineage: Eukaryota; Metazoa; Chordata; Mammalia; Rodentia; Muridae.
UUACUGCAUGAUUUUUUCACUUGGAAAGAGC